This 34-nucleotide transfer RNA is filed under the name Datura wrightii. Its description in RNAcentral is "partial tRNA-His". The record is from RNAcentral. Lineage: Eukaryota; Viridiplantae; Streptophyta; Magnoliopsida; Solanales; Solanaceae.
CGGAUGUAGCCAAGUGGAUCAAGGCAGUGGAUGU